GUGAGAAUAUUCAAAAUUCUCUCUUCUAGCUAUUUUGAAUGACACAAUAUAUUAUUGUUAACUCUAGUUACCCUACUGUGCAACAGAACACCAGAACAUCAUUUGCAGCAAAGGUAAACCUAGAGAGCAUUAUGUUAAAUGAAAUAAACCAAACACAGACGGACAAAUACCUCAAGAUCUCACUCAUAUAUGGAAUCUAAAAAGGUCGAUCUUAGAAUUACAGAGUAGUGUAAUGAUUACCAGAGUCUGGCGAGGCUAGACGUGGUGGCGAUGGGGAAAGGUUGGUCAGUAGGUUCCUCUUCUUUUGUUUAAUGUGAAAUUGGUGCUGUUAAGUUUGGCUUUGAUAUGCCCAGAAACAGUAAAGGAAAGAGGAAAGAGCAUAGUUGUUGGGGGCAGAUGGAUGAGGAGAAACCCAGAGGGCAUAUAGCUCACGGGUAAAAUACUGCAGACAUGUCCCUUAACCGCUUUGAGUCUCCAUUCCUUUAUUUAUAAAAUGGGCAUGAUCAAGUCAACUUUAUGUUUCUGUGAGUUUUACAGUUCUUGCUUUAGAGAAACUUGCCUACUUUCAGGCAUGUUUUCCCAAAAGCAACAUGGUAUCAAAAAACAAAAAGGACUUCCUUCAUCAAAAGAGAUAAUUUAUUUUAAAGACAUUAUUUUCACUUGAACCUAAGUAAACCUGAUGUCAAUAUGAGGCUUUUUCCAUACGUAACCUAUCAAAAGCUAUUGGAAAGGUUGCAAGAGCCAUCUCUCUGUCUCCUCUCUCUCUCUCUCUCUCCCUCAUUUGCUGUCAUGAUUCCUGGACUAGCCCGUCUCUCGACAUUAUAUAGCCUUAGACAACACAGGAUAGAUAGUAGCAUGAAGUGUGCAGAAGUAAGUCCACCAGUAGGAUUGCUAGGGCUAGCCACCCUGUUUUCUCCUUGAACUUGACCACAACAUGUUUUACCUUGUAUCUUGCUCCAAUCACAGCUGUUUCCGUAGAAAAAUCAUUUCUUGUGAUGGACUUUUGUCUCACUGGAGUAACACUCUUUCGUGAGGAUAGCAAAAGUUGUAGGGACAGCCUAAGAUUUUUUUUUUUAAGUGGUUUUGGUUUUGUGUUUAUGGAAUGUUUGUUAGUACAGCAGGAGUGAGACUGGAUAGAGUUGAAGGUGCUGAAAGUGUCAGAUGGCAGAGCUUCGUGGGGGCCCAUGUGAAUGCUUAGAGUUUUGGUAGCCAAAACUCAAGUAAUAUAGGUUAAAACAGGCCAGUUGGCUCAUCCCAAGAAGUGAUGGAAGACUUCUGGCUCUAUCUUUCCAGGAGGCAAGAAGAACAUCAGCUGGCAGCAAACAGCACCGUUCUGUUACCACCCAUCUUUUGCUGUUGUUGGUUUCUCUCAUCUCAAAAGAGAGUCUUAUUAUGUGUCUCGUUUAAAAUAUUCUUUGUGGAUUUCCAACAAAAUCCUCUUAAGUUCUUGAAUCCAAGAGCAGAACAGAAGAGGUGGUUUGCUUCCUAGACUUCCUGAAACAUCAGCUACUUUGAUAAAUAUUUAUUGAGCACUUAUUCUGAGUGACACAUUAAACAGCUAGAUGUUACAGAGGAUGCAUCAAUGAGGGAGAUACAACUCCAUUUCUCAGGGAAAGGGAACAUUUCCGGGAAGUGAGUAGAAAUAAUCAAUGAAGCAUAUACAAAAAUAACUGGAACCAAGGCAGAGUGAGACAGGUGCCAUAGAGGUCCACCCAGUGGUGACAUCAUAUUGGGUUGGAACUUACCAAGCAACAGCUCAUAGGGAAGUCUGCAUUUGAUAGGAAAUAAAGAUAAAUGGGUAAGGUUUUACCUGACUGGGAACAUAAAAUUAUGCAGAUAAGACAAAGCAUGGCUUAAAUUUUGGCUCUAAAGCCCAUCCUUAUCAAGCUAGUUCUCCUGCGACCUAGACCUAGGUUUCAGAACUGGGGCAAUGAUACCACGGGAAGGCAGGUACAUGUAGUGUUGAACAGAAUGGACUACAGAUCACACAGAAAUCAGUCUAAAUCCUAACACUGCCAAUUACUAUUAUUUGGCUGUGAGCAAAUCCCUUGAAUGUUCUAUUUCUCAGUUUUCUUAUUUGCAGUAUCAUGGUAAUAACAUCUGCUGCAUAUAAUUGUUUUAUAUAUUAAGAUAAUGUGUGUAAAAUACCCAACUUAAUGACGGACACAUAGAACACAAUGUUAGUGCUAUAAAAGCUGUAUAUGUUAAAGUAAACCUGUGGCUUUGGAAACAAGCCAAUGGAGAAUUGAUCCAGGUCGUGCAACUUACUAGCUGUGUUUAGUCUUGAGAAAUUGGUUAAUAUUUUAAAAUCUUGGUUUUAUCACUGCUUCUUAGCAGUAAUGUGAAGAUUAAAUAAUAUAUAUAAAAUACUUAAUAUUGUGACUAGAACACAGAAUGGACUUAAUAUGUUUAUUAUUUGUAUUGCUGUUAUUUAAUACACGUCUUAGGCAAAGACAGAGAUAUAAUUUGUUUUAAUCAUGAAGUGAAAUUUUGUAGAACAUGGGUGAGACUGUCAAUGAUUGCUCUCAGUGAACAACCACAUAUGAUUCCUUCCUGAUUAGGAAUCCCCUUCUCAUUCUGCUCUGGGUACUCUGGCCUUCUUGUUUCCACGUUAGAGCCUUCUGCUCCCUCUGUCCUGAAUUCCCUUCUUCCAGGUCUGUUAUCACUGGCUCCUUCUAAUCUCUCUUAUUUCAGGUGUGAUGUUGUCUUCUCCCAAGGACCUUCUCCAACCACACUACUCGAAGUGUGUCCAGAAUUGGUGGGCUCUUGGUCUCGCUGACUUCAAGAAUGAAGCCGUGGACCCUCGCGAUUAAACAAGUGCAACUUUCCCAAUCUCACACAACUACUUGUGGAGCCAGGAUUCCAUACAGGCAAUCUUCCACUGAGGAAGAAGAAGAGAGAAGAUUGAAGAGGUGGACCGGCUGCACAUUUCAUCAUGAAGAUUUAUCCGGAGAUCCAAGAGACUGACUCAGGCUAUGAAUCAGCUACGUAAGUUCCAUGAAAGGGCUAUGUCUUCUAAGAAAAAGGAUCACGCUGACCUCCACUUUCAACAAGUUGCCUCUAAGCAUGAAGUGACCCUAAGAGAUAGGAAGAUAAGGAGGUAAUGGGUCUGGUUGAGACCAAGCAUCCAAACUAAGAAAUAAAGUUUGCGUAUGGUAACAACAAUAAUAAUAUUACAAAUGGGACAUAAGACAUAUCUAUAAAGGGAACUAAGGUUUCACUAAUAACACUGCAUCUAAUAUUUCUGUGAAUCCCAAGUGAUUACUCGCAUACUAAAAAGCAACCACCUAACCCUCUUUGUCUGUUUUGUAGUAUAAGAAGGGAUAAAGAGAGAAAUUUGUCCCUGGCAUUACAUUUUCUUAUGCAAACUAAUUUAAAUCACACAUCUCAAUGUUGAAAGCUUGUCUGACAAGCAUUUCCAAAGCACAAAACAAAUCUCAUAACAGGUUAACUUGCACUGGGCUGAUGUUGGCAAAGGACUUUUAGUACUUCUGAGAAGGCUGAAAAAUAAUUUUUCUGCUAGGAAAAAAAAUGUACCCAAAUAUAAUGGUGUAUUAAGGGAUUAGUGCUAGAUUAAAGUAUUCUUUCUUCUCACAACCAGGGACAAUCUUUUGAUCUAAUCUAAGAGGUAAUCUAAUUUUAAUGCAAGUGGAAGAACUGAAAAGCUGCACAGAGUAUAAAAAGAAGGACUAAGGUAGUAGAGAAAGAGGAUCUUCCCUUUGCCAGGUAGGGGAUCCAUCUGAUAAGCUGGUAUAUGCCUUAGACUUACUGCUGUAUGUGUCCUAAUAGUUACGACUCCAUAAGUCACUAAGUAAAGAUACACAUUUAAAACUUGGGGAUUGACACAGCGGGAGCAUGGCUAUCUUGGACAAGCACCACCAUUCUAAAGUUCCCCUUGAUCAAAAACUGCCUAAAUCCAAAGGGCAUCAGCUUAAUGGCUAACGUCAGCAUGACCAUAAACCACAAAUAACAUCCCAGUCCAGAAACAUUCCAACCAUAAGAUAAACCCCUCCCCGACCAGAGACAGGUCAGCCCCAGGAUAACUUCCCUUCCAAACAGAGACAUUCCAACCCCACCAUAAAUUUCUCCCCCACACAGAAACAUUCCAAGCCUGUGAUAAAGCUCUCUCGCCCUAAAACCAAUAAAUACUCUUAGUCUGUAAGAGAGAGUGCUCCUGUCCAAAAAUUGGCCAGAAGCCCCUCUCAGGUUUAUUCUGCAAAAUUAACCUGUCUUUGACUGUUGAGCCGCUUUUCGUGUUUCUUUCCUGUUUCUUUAACUCUUACAGGGAUCUCUUGGUUCAGAACACAUUUGAGGGCCUGUUAUAUACUAGGCAUUAUCAUAUUUCUUGAUUCUUUUAAAUUUCAUUGAUUUUAAUAUCUAAAACUUCCCUAUUAGGUACCUUUUUCAGAUGAAGCAAACUAAAAUUUAGAAAAGUUAAGCAAUUUCCCCAAGGUCAUGUUAGUAUAUAUCUGGGAGAAUAACAAUUUGAAUUCACAUCUUUCCGACUAAGCCAGGCUGAACCCUUAAUGACCUUUCUCAACUAUCAGCUCACCUCUCCCCAUAAUGCAUAUUUUACAGCUCAAAAAGGAGAGGAAGGAAAAACCUUUAAACCCAUUGCUAGAAAGGGUGUAUUACGUACAAGGCAGAAUGGCAAGCACAGGAGAAAUCAUUAAAGAAUGUCAUAAAAGACCAAAAAAAAAAAAAACCCAUCCCAAGAUUUGUCCUCUUAUAUAUUGGGAAAGAGACCCGUUCCCCCACGGCAUGAACCAUCAGGAAAACCGGCUGUCUUUAGAUUUUCAUAAAUAAAUCCUCAGCCUUGGAUUGACAUUUUCUUUAUGAAGCCAUAGAGAAAUAAUUGCUACAUAUUUCAGAAUGUACUAGCUCAGCACUGUCCAAGAGAAACAUAAUGUGAACCACAUAUGCAAUUACGAAUUUCCAAGGAUUCACAUUUAAAAACUGUACAAAGAAAUGUUAAAUUAAUUGUAAUAAUGUAUUUUGUGUAGCCCAAUAUAAUCAAAAUAUUAUUUCAACAUCUAAUGUAUAUAAAAAUUGUUGGAGAUAAUUUAUAUCGUGAUAUGAAGUUUUUACAAUCUAGUAUAUUUUUAUACUUAACAGCACACUGAAACUCAAUGCUAAAUUUUCAGUGCUUUAGGUGAAAUAUAGUUUUAUUAGAACAAAAAUUGUGUUUGAUGAAAACUAUUUUACACUGCUUGAGUUUUUAAAUUUAAAUGGAAAUUAUACUGAAAUAAGAAUUAAAAUUAUCUGCUUAUUCAUACUAGCCAUAUUUUAAUUAUGUAAUAGCUAGUGACUACUAUAUUGAACAGCAGAGUUCUAGACAAAAAGAAAAUAUAAGAUUUUCUCAUGCUACAUCUAAGACAUUCAUAGUAAGCAACUAUGAAAAUGAAAGCUAACUCCAGUGUACUCAAGGCAGAGAAAAUGGAAGACAUUUACCAUAAAUCUUUCAUAUGCCCUUUUAUCUUUUGAUGAUUGUCCACAAUAUGAACAGGACAGGGCAAGUGCUGCAGGUAGGUUGUCUGUUCUUCCAAUACCAUUCUCAUAGAACUGACUGGCUAGAGAAAGGGUGACACUGGCUAAUGUGUCCCGACUCAU
This 5610-nucleotide long non-coding RNA is filed under the name Homo sapiens (human). Its description in RNAcentral is "HSALNT0378158". Lineage: Eukaryota; Metazoa; Chordata; Mammalia; Primates; Hominidae. The record is from RNAcentral.